CGCUGAGUUUGAUCCUGGCUCAGAUUGAACGCUGGCGGAAUGCUUUACACAUGCAAGUCGAACGGUAGAGGGGGCAACCCCUCGAGAGUGGCGAACGGGUGAGUAAUAUAUCGGAACGUGCCCAGUCGUGGGGGAUAACGUAGUGAAAAUUACGCUAAUACCGCAUACGAUCUACGGAUGAAAGCGGGGGAUCGCAAGACCUCGCGCGAUUGGAGCGGCCGAUAUCAGAUUAGGUAGUUGGUGAGAUAAAGACUCACCAAGCCAACGAUCUGUAGCUGGUCUGAGAGGACGACCAGCCACACUGGAACUGAGACACGGUCCAGACU
RNAcentral lists this ribosomal RNA (326 nucleotides) under uncultured Limnohabitans sp. RNAcentral describes it as "bacterial SSU rRNA". It matches the Rfam family "Bacterial small subunit ribosomal RNA", at positions 1 to 337 of the family's 1533-position model. The record is from RNAcentral. Lineage: Bacteria; Pseudomonadati; Pseudomonadota; Betaproteobacteria; Burkholderiales; Comamonadaceae.